Molecule: ribosomal RNA, 2196 nt
Filed under: Triticum aestivum (bread wheat)
Lineage: Eukaryota; Viridiplantae; Streptophyta; Magnoliopsida; Poales; Poaceae
Description: partial small subunit ribosomal RNA
Source: RNAcentral
AUGGAGGGCCCUGGCACGCUUCGACCCCCGAUGCACUACUACACGGGGAGGGAAGUGGUGUCGUCGCAUGGAGAGGGCAUUUCCUAUGGAUGCUUCGCGGAGCACCCUCGUCCAGUCCGGCGACCGCCCCACCGGCGCGCGCGCAUAGUCACGCGGGCAGCACACGCCGCGAGAUCGACCGAAGCGACCAAAAAGUGCGCGCGCAUGGAAAACUUGAAACCCAACGCGUUUGUUGAGGCCCUCAAAGUCGUCGGCAAGGCGUUCGUCGUCUGGAGCAGUAACUGGAGACGCCUGCUCCCCGUCAUCGUCGGGGUGUUUCUGCUCGACCUGGCUCUGACGGUCGUGUGGGUGAAUCUGGCAAGCCUGCACCUCAAUCUUGAUUCCAUGGGGCUCUUCUUCGAAAUGGCCGACAACUCGACCACCAUGGCCGCGGGAGCCGUGGUCGUGACUCGUGUGGACGAGGGGACGGAGGCCUCGUCCUCGCGGCAACUCAUCGAAAUCGUAGGGGAAAUCUUCUUCGGAUUAUCAACAGCUGUGGCCCUCCUUUCCUUCUCCUGUACAUGUAACUGUGAUCUUUCAGGAUUUGGCUACUCAUCCGUCUUCACCACUAGUGGAGAGGAGGCCACUCGGGAAGCCUGUGUCAUGUGUGGUCAUCAAGGAUGGAGCAGGGUGCGCGGGUGUUCACCUCCCCCUCGGUCGUUUGGGUGGCGCAGUGGCGGGAGAUGGUCAUUGGCUUGGCAUGCGGUUCUCUACUUCGAUGGGUCACAUCAUAUCUUAAGGUCGUGCCCCUCCUACCUUUCGAGCGCCAGCCUGCCGAGUGUGAUCCAAGCCUUUGGCCGCCGGGGGUUUGUCGUUGGUUGGGGUGCUGGAGGGGUGGCUAAAUCUGAGAGAAAUCUUUGGUUGGUGUUGCCAGCCACAAUCUUGAUGACUCCAGCGGGUGUCGUCUCCCUCCUUAUAGGCGCCAUCGAGGUACCUACCCCUUCCUCGUCCUCAGGUGAAAGAAUUUAUCUGUUAUGGAGUGGACGGCAACAUGCGUUCUCACCUUCUUCGAGGCAUCAUUUUGGGAUAGAAGGGUCUACAAGUCGAGGUGUUGUGGUUGAUGGACACCCGGUGGCGGUGUGGUUCGAGUUGCCGUCAAGGUCUUGCGAGUCGACAUGUUUCCGGCUCAAUUGCAACUCCUUUUGGUCAUUCGCGCUCGGUUUGUGUGGGCUUGCUCAUCAGCGGGCCAGUGCCCUAAAAUCUGGGCGAGGAGGAGAUAGGCCCCCCAACUGUAGCAACAUGGCUAUGGUAGUAUGGAGAUGGUGCCGAUCUCUACACACUCGAAUAUCUCUCGUAGCAAUGGAUGCAACAACUCAUAUCCAUUGUGCCUUCUUCUUCGAGGUUCUCAUCCUUAGCAACGUUUACUCUUCUUAUGUGUGCUGUUUUGACAGUGUAAAUCCUAGCUAUGUAGAGGCCGUUUAUAAUAGGACUACUACUUUAGAAGGACAACACCCUUCUUUAUCGUCAUGGAGGCAAUGGAAGAGUUUGGGCAUUCAGUUGCUCACGGGGCUGGGCAUCACCAUCAUCAUAUCAGUACUUUUGGAAGCUCUUGAGCUGGACGACGACCUGUCCCUCUAUCUCACCAAUUUCUUCAAUGUCGUAUACAUGCUUGCCGCUGUUGUUGCUUCAAAAGAAGGCCUAUACGGGUUCUCUGCAGCCGAGAAGGCAUGGUUAAUCGUUAGCGAAAAGUUCUAUGAGAUAACUGUGGUGGGCGCGAUGAUUUUUGUCGUCCAGGGAAGUCUAGAAGAAGCCUACGCAAGUGCAAGAUUUUUACCUCGAAAGAAGGAAGUGGUGGUGGCGCUGGUGAUAAUGGAGGACACGGCGGCUGACAUCUUCCGGUACUCCGUCGCCGCAGCCUUUCUCACCGCCAUUCUGCAGGUAUUCCAGUGCUUGGUGACCUUGGCGGUUUACUGUGGUGGCGGACGCCCAACGGAUCGGCGGCCCCUCGGCAACGAUGUCAGCGGCGUGCCCGCGGCGACGCACGCGCAGCCGCUCCUUGAAGCAGAGGCAGCAAGGGCGGGCUCUGCUUCUGGCGGGAGCGACGCCAGCUCCAGUGCUGGAGGCCCGUCUCGCAGCCCAAACACGAGGACGGCACGGCCCAGGAGAAAGACCAGGCCUAACCCGAAAUACGAUCCGCGUGUGUGGCAGUUGUUGUGA